GGUAGAUGCUCUCGCGAGGACAGUGGAGCUGGGCCGGCGCUAUUUCCCAAAUUGCUCAGAAGUUCUUGAUAAGUUCUUGGAGGAUGAUCAACCCGAUCUUUUCUACCUCCAGACGGGCACCCCCGACGAGCAGAAGAUGAAAAAAAUGCGCUUCUCUGAACUCAAGACUGAUUUUCAGAAGGCAUUCACUAAGGACAAGGCGGUUAGCGUACGCACCGGUCUAUCAUCGUCCUCAUCGUCCACAUCCUCGUUGAAGCGAGAGCAGAAACACCAAAAUACCGCAAAAAAACGAAGUCACAAAGUUUCCG
This 308-nucleotide unclassified non-coding RNA is filed under the name Hevea brasiliensis (rubber tree). The record is from RNAcentral. Lineage: Eukaryota; Viridiplantae; Streptophyta; Magnoliopsida; Malpighiales; Euphorbiaceae.